ACUUUGGGCUGUUUUAAUAGAAGUUUCAUGUAUAUAGUACAGACUUCAGCCUUCUGUUUGCUCAAAGAAUUCAGCAAUCAUGGGGUUUAAAAUGAUUUUUACCAAAAUAUAUUCCUGCUAUUGAGCAUUCUGGGUUCACAGAAGGAACCAUAAAAUGCAAUGGCAACAGAGAAACUCGUUUUGGUAGAUAGGCCUGUUACAAAGAGCAAUGACAAUGCUGGAUAAAUCAAACAGGAGAACAGCAAAAGGUGCACACCAGCUAUGCAAGGCAUUAUUUGCAGAUGAUUCAGGGAAGUUACCCUAAGACAACAGUCUGGUUAACUGGAGCUUUGGGUUGUGGGGGAGGUGAGAAUACUUCCACCGUUAAGACAUGUAUCCAUUGUCAUCCUCUUCGUCUUUAGCACACACUAGCUGCCAACGAAUAUUUGUGUAAUAAAUGGAACACCUGCCAAAACUGUGGGAUGUUUUCAAACAAACUCUAAAAUUCUGUGACGAUCACUUCCGUGCAUGCAGGACCCAUCUAUUGCAAGCUCUGUGGGAGAGAAAUGGCUUGCUUGAAAGUGAAGCAUGGGGCUUCAGUUGGCCAUAGUUCAUUUGGUUGAAUAGUAGGAAAGUGGGAAGAGAAACAAGCUUCUUAGAAAUGGAAGAUCAGCCUCCAGGCUUGACUCCGACAUUAUUGUCUGACAGGUUUCUACCCAACUUCUCCUGUCUCCAUCUGUGGACUUGAUGUACCCGAAGAAUUAGCCAGGGGCAAUUCUGUGGUUUUGACAGGGAAGCUCCGGUAGGGCACCACGUCCUAGUCAUCUUCCUUUUCUCACCUGCACCUGCCAUGCUGCUUCUUUCUUCUCUGCAAAGAUGCAGAGGUCAAAGCACGUUCCUGUGCAGUGAUGAAAAGCUCCCAGGAUCAGCCUCCUGGCUGGCAGCACACCCUCCAGGAUCCAGGGAGUGCCUCUAGGAUUCCUGUGGGUGCGCUCUCAGAUCCCCCCAACUCCACAGCCGCUUCUCUGGCUCCUGUCUGACGCUUAAGGAGCAUCUCAGGGUAGCUACGGUCCUUUGCGCCCUGGGGCACCAGCAGCACUGGCAGGAAAGGGGAUCAGAGGCGGGAAAGGAAAUGGGGGGCGUGAGGGCUCGUAGGCUUCAGCUGCAGCAGCUGCAGCAGCGGGCAGAGGGGUGGAGGGUGCUGAGCAGGGCUGGAGUCGGGGCCAGGAGGGAGGGAGAGAAGGCAACGGGGAGAGGGGGAGGCUGUGCCAGGCAAGCCGGAGGGGUGCUCUGCGCUCCCCCGCCCUCCUUCCGGGAGCGAGGAUGCAGACUCUAGAACUGGCGUUGCUGGGCUGAGGCGGAGGCAGGGGAUUUGCAACGCGCGCGGCUCUGCUAGUGUGUCUCCUGCGAGCCGAGAGGCGGGGGGAGGCGGAGGACCGGGAGGCGGAGGAGGAGGAGGGGGAGAAUGCCUGGAGCUGCCACCGCCGCCGCCGCGAUGCUCCCGGCUCAGGAGGCUGCCAAGCUAUACCACACCAACUAUGUGCGGAACUCGCGGGCCAUCGGCGUGCUGUGGGCCAUCUUCACCAUCUGCUUUGCCAUCGUCAACGUGGUGUGCUUCAUCCAGCCCUACUGGAUCGGCGACGGCGUGGACACCCCGCAAGCCGGCUAUUUCGGGCUCUUCCACUACUGCAUCGGCAACGGCUUCUCCCGGGAGCUGACCUGCAGGGGCAGCUUCACGGACUUCUCCACGCUGCCCUCGGGCGCCUUCAAAGCCGCCUCCUUCUUCAUCGGCCUCUCCAUGAUGCUCAUCAUCGCCUGCAUCGUUUGCUUUACCCUCUUCUUCUUCUGCAACACAGCUACCGUGUACAAGAUCUGUGCUUGGAUGCAGCUCACCUCCGCUGCCUGUCUUGUGCUUGGCUGUAUGAUUUUCCCUGAUGGCUGGGAUUCAGAUGAAGUAAAACGGAUGUGCGGAGAAAAGACAGACAAGUACACUCUUGGGGCCUGCUCUGUCCGCUGGGCGUACAUCCUGGCUAUCAUUGGAAUAUUGGAUGCCCUGAUCCUCUCAUUUCUCGCAUUCGUGCUUGGGAACCGACAAGACAGCUUGAUGGCGGAGGAACUGAAGGCAGAAAACAAAGACGAUGGAAAUGCUUAAGGCAGACUAAGGUAGUGUGAGACCUCACCAUAAAAUGCCUGUCUUCUCUUUCCCUGGACAUGUGGUUCUCUGCCUCCUCAGGAAUGAUGUUUACUUCCCAUGUAGGUGCUAAGAACUGAAAUGACAUUUUGGUGGAUUUUUCUAUUGGUGAGUAUGAAAUAUCCUUCUCUAUCACUUUUGAUUAAUUUUGGUUUGAAGUCUAAUUUGUUAAAUAUUAGAAUAGCUAUACAAGCUUGCUUUUUGGAUCUAUUUGCUUGGAAAAUCUUUUUCCUACUCUAUCUGAGGUAAUGUCUAUCUUUGAUAUAGAGGUGUGUUUCAUGUAUGCACAUCAGCAAAUCAAAAGAAAAAGCACACAUGUGCAUGCACAACAACAGCAACAAAUUAACAGGAAUUAAUAAUAUUGGCCAUUGGUAUCUCUCAAUAUCAAUGAACUCAAUUCUCCCAAUAAAAAGACACAGGAUAACAGAAUGGAUAUGAAAACAGCUCUAUGUUUCUUAUUUAAUAAGACUGUUUAGAAAUUUGACUACAGUUUAUCAUUGAACCUCUUUUUAGACUAAGGAAGCAACAAGUCUCAAAUAUUUUGAAUUGGUAUGGACUUUUUGUAUGAUGAUAAAAAGUUAAAGUUAUAUUUACUGCAACAUACUACAUAUGUGAUUUCCCUCUGGUUUAGAAUAUAAUGUAUAUGAUGAUAAAACUUUAAGGUUAUAAAGGUCUACUCAGAUAAACAAAUGCUGGUUUAAGAUAUAUGUCUAACUACUUAUGUCUUUGCUAACUGGUCAACACCAAGCUACUAGAAAAUUUAGACAAGUAACAACAUAUAUUUGAUAAAUUAGGUGUAUUUGAUAAUCAAGAUUUAUAAACUCCUAAGGUAUACUCAGGUUCACAACAAUAUUGGUCUAGCUUCUUCAUCUUUGUUCAUUUUGUUAAACUUUAGAUAUUUAGAUAAACUAAGCCAAACAAAAAAACUGCAAUAUUCCAUAAUGGUACACUAUAAAAGGAUCAUCAAAGUUGCCAGUCUCUCUAUGAAAUGUAUCUAUAAUUAAAAGUUUUAUUUUGAUACUGGAAGAACUUCAAUUAAAAAAUUGUUAUUUUUAAGGCUAAACCUAAUAAGGAUGGAUGUAAAGUCCUAGUCUUAUAAAAGCUACUAACUUACUGUAAAUUGUUAAGGAUAAUUAAAACAUACAAGUUAAUGAUCAGUCACCUUAUAAAUGAUCAAAUUCUUUAAUGUGUUCAGACUAAUGCAAUUAAGUACAGGAAUAAGGCUUAUUUAGCCUCACGUAUAUGUUUUCAAAGUUAAGCCUGAAACAAGUAACUAGAAUCAAGCAAAAAUUGUUUAUUUUAGAUAUACUUAACAGACAGAUGGUCCUCAAAUGCUUCAGAGAUCUGCUGAAUAUGGCAUUUAAAAUGUUUAGUUAAAAAAAAAAACACCUUUUUUUUGUGAUAGAGAGAAGUGCCAGCUCCUGGAAACACCCCUAAUCUCCUCCAAAGAAGAUGAUGGGGUGCAGAAGAACCUCCACCUGGAGUUUGCUUUAAAUGUGGCAAAGUAGGCCACUGGUUGAAAAACUGCCUUUCACCUCACUGGGUUGUUGAUUGUCUCACUCUGCCUAGACAUAGGAGGUCAAUUCCAUCAAGUUCCUACUCCACAAGAAAGUCUAUUGGAUCAUUUUGACCUCAAAGCUGAAGACUGAUGCUUCCCUGGGACCUCUGUCUCCAAUGACCAUGGAGGAAACUAGGUAGCCAGUAAGUCUCUGUUGUCCUUUUCUUAAAUUAAAAAAAAAAAAAUUAUUGCCUUUAAAGCCACGGCUGUCCAAAUCAUCAACUGCAACUCCACUGCUAUCAGCUACUGCUAGUAGCAAUUAGGCCACAAGGACAUUAGCCAGAGGGAAUUCUGUUCCCUCAGGCUCUGACUCUUGCAAAGCUAUGAAGGGAACUUAACUAAAUCUCUAUCCCUCUAAAGAACUCAAGAUUCAAAGGUUAAAGUGGAAUUCUGCUCUUCAGAGAGGCUGAAUAUCAGGUAGCUCACCUCCUCUCCUUGCUUGUGUUCUCCAAAAAGCCCUCAUGCUUCUCUUUGCCCCUUCUUAAAAACUUCUCCACCUGGCUCCUCCCUACCACUUCCUAUCAGCUAGUUGCUGACUCAGCCUCCUGACCUCAGGUGAAUUUUAUUUACUCAAACACAUCUUUUCAUCAUUAAACAAAUGUUCCAGAGCGUAAACAAAAGUAACACACCUUAAAAUAAUAUUCUGUACCAGGUGGUGGUGGCACACACCUUUAAUCCCAGCACUCGGGAGGCAGAGCAGGCGGAUCUCUGUGAGUUUGAGGCCAGCCUGGUCUACAGAGCAAGAUCUAGGACAGGAACCAAAACUACACAGAGAAACCCUGUCUCGAAAAACCAAAAUAAUAAUAAUAAUAAUAAUAAUAAUAAUAAUAAUAGUAUUCUGCAACAAGUCUUUGUCAUUUUUAAUAGAUUCAGAAGCUGCUUGGUGUAUACUUCCUGCUUACUCAGGUAAGAUUUCUCCUUCUCUGGUCUCUGAUGGCCUUGAUGACUAGGCUAGUGACAGCUUUGUCAGUUUAACAGCAGCAACCAAGGCUUCAGUUGCCUCCUCAGUUCUCUUCACGUGUAAAAAUCAGGCCUUAGGCCUCACUUUCCUAGAAUCACUACUAGGCCUAGACACAGUUUACUUGCCACAAGACCUCCAAAAGCAGAUAACCUCACAAAACAGAUUUCAAAGUAACUUUUUUCUAUUCCUUUAUUUGACAAAACUCACUUUACAAUAAUUGCUCUCAGUAAUCAACCAUCUGUGUCUUGUGGUGAAUGACUGUACAGAAAAAGGUAUAAAGUUUACAUGAGAUCUGAGGAUAUGAAAGCUUUAGUUGUGAUAAGAAAGUGACUUAAGGAAUGUAAAUGCAAUUUGUAAAGGUAUAAGAAAGUGACUUAACCAAUACUUUUAGUCCCAGCACUUGGAAAGCAGAGGCAGUGGAUCUCUGGGUUUGAGGCCAGUUUGGUCUACUGAGUGAUUUCCACAACAGCCAAGGAUACAUGGAGAAACCCUGUCUCAAAAAACUAUUGAAAAAGCAAGAAAGAAAGAAAAGAAGAAAGAAACUUAGGUACUAAAAAAACGAAUGCUUCAGAUUUCUUUCUCCCUCUGUUAUUGUUAUAUUAAGACUUCAAAAGUUCAGAGUUUUAGCAUUAACCAAUGAAGUUUUGAUAAGGUAUUAAUUUAGUUUUGGUAAACUCUGACUACUAUUAUCACAGUCACAAGCUCAUGAUUUUAAAUUUCCUUUGGUUGUCUUCUAAGUAGAGCCUUAAAAGUGCUUCUCAUUGUGCUAAAAAUGUCUGUCUAAUCUACGUACACCCAGUCUUCUGGAUAGAGAAGAAGGCCCUCUUUCAUGGUAUAUAUUUAUACUGACAAUCAAGAUCAAUCCAGCUUUUGCCCUUCUGCUCCAUGGGAAGUUUCUGAACUCUCUGAGUUUGCCUUGAAGAGCAUUCAUGCUUAUUGGUGGAAGUAUUAAGGCAACUCUACAUAGUUAAAAGAGAGGUUUAUUUUGUGGGGUAACUUACAAGUAAAGGGAUAGGUUACAGGGUCCUGGAAAGGUAUUGAGCAGUCCAGUGGUGCUGUCUGAAGAACUCUGCUCAAUCUACCUCCAGCGUCCAGGAUCCAGGAACCAAGAGAGCUGGCACAUCUGGAUCUCAGGUCUUAGGGGCUCCUGUCUUGGCCCCUCACAGGUGUAACAGUUACCAGAAGCCUCAAUGGGGAUAGUACUUCCAGGUCAAAGCUGGAACAGCUAUCCACUACAUCUCCCCCUUUUGUCUAAAUAAGAAAGUUCUAACCUAAUACAAAGCUAUAUACAAUAGGAAUGAUGUAAGGAACACAUGUAAGGCCUAGGGUGAACAACCCUGGUCAGAGGUGAUAAGCAAUAGAAUGAUGUAAGUAAACCACAAAUGGAGUAGUGAUAAGCUAUAAGCUAUGUGUGGAAGUAGGGAUAAGACUAGAAACCCAGCCAGGAAAGAAUAUAAAAGAUGAAACCUCAGAUCUGACCAACAGAGCUUGUCAGGCCCUCACGAGAGACAACUCUCCUCUGCCAGAGACGUGAGAUCCUGUCCCCAGUGCAGACGUGGCUGACCUGAGGAAGGCUGACCCAAGAUCCAGAGGAACAGAUGUGGCAAGUCCGGACCUGUACACCCGGAGAGGUAUUCCUGCUUCCAUUUGGAAGACAGGAUGAAUAUUGCUUGUAAUCUUACUGUGUGAAUAAAUGAGUGUUAUACCAAGUCUGAAUCAAGAGUGAUUAUUCCUCCCCCAUAACCAGGGUAUGUGAUCACUACAAGAAGAAUCUAAAAUGGCCAAGAAAUAAAGAAAUGUUCAACAUACUUAGCCAUCAGGGAAAUAGAAAUCAAAACCACUUUGAUAUUCCAUCUUAUACCUACCAGAAUGGCUAGAAUCAAAAAUACAAGUGACAGCUCAUGCUGGCAAGGAUGUGGAACAAGAGGAACACUCCUCCACUGCUGAUGGGAGUACAAACUUGUACAGCCACUCUGGAAAUCAAUAUGGCAGUUUCUCAGAAAAUUGGGAAUCUAUGUACUUGAAGACCCAGCUAUACCACUCCUGGGCAUAUACUUAAAAGGCACUCCAUCCUAUUACAAGGACAUUUGCUCAACUAUGUUCAUAGCAGCCAGAAACUAGAAACAACCUAAAUAUCCCUCAACCAAAGAAUGGAUAAAGAAAAUGUGAUACUUAUACGCAAUGGAGUAUACUCAUCUGUUAAAAACAAUAACGUCAUGAAAUUUGCAGGCAUCAUGAAAAUCAUCCAGUGUGAGGUAUCCUAGACCCAGAAAAAUAAACAUGUUAUGUACUCACUUAUAAAUGGAUAAUAGCUGUAAAGUAAAAGAUAGCCAUGCUACAAUCCAAAAAUCCAGAGAGGCUAAGUAACAAGGAGGGCUUAAAGGAGGAUUCAAGGAUCUCCCUGGGAAGGGGAAAUAGAAUAGAUUUCUUGGGUGGAUUGGGCACAGGUGGGGUUGUGAACUGAAUGGAUCAGGUGGGUGAACGGAAAUACUGGGAGAAUCAACUGCAAUUGGGAGGCAUUUCAGGUAUGAGGUGGAAACCUAGUGCAAUGGAAAUUCCAUGGAAUUUACAAAAAAACCUAUCAAAGACUCCUAGUAAUAAGGGUCAUGGAGUCUGAAACCGGUCAUCUCCUAUAACCAGGCAAGGCCUCAAGAGGAAUGGUUGAGACACCAACUCAGCCACAAAAUUUUCGACCUACCUGAAGAGUGUUCUGGGACCGGAUCUUGCAGAAUAGUCAUCAAAGAGACUAGAAAGAUUCCAUCCAGCAACUGAUGAGAGCAGAUGCAAAGUCCCACAGCCAAAUAUUAAGCAGAGCUCAGGGGAAUCUUGUGGAGGAUGGGGAGGGAGCCAGCCUUGAUGUGAUGGUACGUGCCUGGUCUUAUUGUAACUUGUUAUGCCAUGUUUGGUUGAUGUCCCUGGGAGACCUACUCUUUUCUGAGGGGAAGCAGACAAGGGGGGGGGAUCUGACUAAGAGGGGGAGUAGGGGUAAGGGAGAAAGGGGAAACUGCAAUCAGAAUGUAAUAUAUGAGAGGAGAAUAAUUUUUGGCCAUUGAUCUGUACUGAGGCCAAGCUGUCAUAAUAAAAUGAGUCCAUGGAGGAAGAGAGAUAUUAAAUUCCCCUCAGGGGCCUGCCCUGAGGAGAUUUUUCCCAGAGUUCUAGGGAAGACACUACAGGGGCUGGGAUACUAAUCUGAGGGAUAUCAAAUGUAUCUACAUACACAAAACUCUUUAGUCCACUCACUUUAUUCUUCUAAGUCAAAAUCUCUCUACACAGCUUCAGUUCUGUUCUCAUACUUAGUUCCUCUCUAUCCCUUCCUCUCCUGUCCUCUCAUUGUUCUAUCUACAUUCCUUCAUCUUCAUUCCUCAUCUUAGUUCAUUCUUCAAGUCCUCUCAAGUCUCUGAGGCUUUCAGUUAUAGACCCAUACAAAGCAACAAUUCUCUGGCCAAGCAGGGUCAUCCAGGCUUGAAUUAUUCCAGGAUCAUAAAGGCAGAUAAGAGUUUACCUCUGGCAGUGACUGUCAGGCUUUCUUUUACAACCCAAAAAGGGAGUGGUUAAAGGAUGUGGGGUCAAUUAAGACCUAAAAUCAGUUAAUAUGUCAGAAAAAGGGAACUUAUGUGCUCAAACUACAUUCCUAGAAGUGGUUAGGUAAAAUGUUAGGAGUUUACAAUGUUAGUAUAAAUCAUGAGUAAAAAUAAAACUGCCUAUAUUUCUUUAGGGGCCAUAACUGUCACUGUAAAACUCGGCUACAUUAUUAUCUGGCAGGGUAGGGGUAGCUAGGCAGCCUGUGUCACAGCUUAAUGUAUCUGGUAUGCAAAGGCCCUUUUGUUCUAAGUUAAAUGUCAAAUAAGAAGUCUAGAGAUACCAUUAAGGCUGUGUAAGAAAGAAGGGUAUGAUCUUAAUUUGCACAAGAAACAAAGCUAUGAACCUAAUGUCCACCUGGCCUAGGAAGUGUCUCUGUAUGGACAUUUAUCUUAAUUCAGGAGAGUAGCAGGUGGUUUGGAAUUCUUAUUCUGUCUGCCAUUUGUCCUUGGAUGUUUGAGAGGUAUCUCAGAUAAAAUGCUUUUGUCCAGAGCUGGCCCUGGCCUUGGAUGCUAGCUAAAGGGGAUAUCUGUUUCUAAUGCUAAAAGGAAAACAAAAAACCAGGAAGAAGGAAGUCUUGCCUGUGUGACAGUUAUCCAAAUACCUAAUUGUAUAGGGAAAAACUAUGCCCAAAGAAUGAUCAAUAGCACACAGCAAAUUUACAGCAGGAAACAGCUAAUAUUCAAAAAGCCAAUAUCACCAAGACUCCGAAAGACUUGGCUUCUCUGGAAGGCCCUUGGCCUUUUCCAGAUAUAGCUUUAUCAUAGUCAGCUGAAUUCCUAUUUCAUAUUUCUGUGUCUUGUAGCAGAGAGAGAGGAAGUAUGAAAGUGCAACACAGGUGUGUUCCUAUAAGCUCAAAGUUGAUGCUGCAGGAUGCAAGCUGGAGCAAGGAGAGAGCAGGAGAGAGGAAAGAUAUCCACAUGGGUGCAGAAGGCUGCAGGAGCCAGAGCUGUGUGGAAGGCACACUGGGUUUGGGAAGGCAUCAGCUGAAGAAUCAGACUCUAGAAUCUGGAAUCAAAUUCACAAACAAAUGAUCAGUACAUACCUUAGGAGAGUUAGAUCAGCAGCUUGAUUCAGAGCUGACACUGUGGGAAGAGCAGGUGUGUGCACCUGCAGCUGGCUUGCUCCUUUGCUUUUCCCCCUGUCUCUGCUAGGUCCAACUCCAGCUCCAGCUCCCACUUCACAACAAACUUACAAAUCCAUCAGCCAUAACUUAAAGACAGGGCAUUUAUACAAUAUUGGGAGGAAGACCAGACAAAAACAAACAGGGCUUAGAGUGAAGAAAAAAAUAGGAAUGGGGAAUUUUUUUGCCAUUCACCUAUCUCUUGCAGUAUUUGUAAGGGUACAGGAUAAUAUUGGGAUCUAGGGUACUGUUAGUCGGCUACAUUUGAAUUGAUUAUCUAAGGGAUAUUGAAGCCAGAUUCAACUGGAAGAGUGGAUAAGUUUAGAGGCCCUUAAGUUGGGCACUAGGUAGAAUGGCUGGAGGUUCUCCAAAGGGCAUCCCAAGGGAGAGCCUGGAGGUCCAGUCAAGGACAUAGUUCCCAUGGGUGAGGUAGAAGAGAAGGUCUAAGGAUGGAAGUCCAAGGCAUCCUAAGGACUUGUGGAGGAACAAAUAAAGGCACAAGUUGAACAGUGAGUCAUCACCUAACAGUUCAAGGAAACAUGGAUGAAUGCCUAGUACCAGAACUUUCAAAUGAAGCCAUAAGGUGAAACUGAGCUGAAAAAUGAAGUCUCACCCAAGGGAAAUGGUCAGAAGUGGGUGUCAGUGAAAAUGGUCAACGGUAGCCUUAAAGUCCAUGGCUGGGGGUACCUCCACCUCCAAGAAUACCAGAGGAGUGCUGGACACUUUGGUCACAGGAUUUAGUGGCAGGGCACCUUGGCAGGUCCAAGCCAAAGUAUGCUGCAUAGGUCAUACCACACAACAGAUCUCACCUAAGAGGCUUAUUGAGAGAAGGGGGAGCAAAAGGCUUUCUCAGAGUAGAGACAUGAGAGAUAGAGAUAGAGACAGACAGACAGAGAGACUGGAAGACAGAGAGAAUGAGAGAGAGCAAUCUGAGAUGGUGGGGACCUUUUAAAGGGUUGACAACUAAUGAUGAUGUAGCUGCUGAGUCACUGAGUUCCUGAGGGGCAGACUGACAGAGCACCUGAUUUAUAACACAUGGAGAAAUUAAGUUGGUAAUGACUGGGAAAUUUCCCCCUGCUGCCUAGCUUUUCAUAGUACUGGAAGGUGCUAUGUUGGCUGCUGGCAGGGAGAAGUAAUCAAUAGUCAUCCAGCUGUGGACCCUGUGAAUUGCAAUAACCAACUGCUUUCUGCCUGCUCAACAGGAGGAAACACAUGCUUGGUACUAUAAAUUUGGCAAAGAACCCAUGGUUAGGUAGCUCACAGAUCCAAGGGUGAACCUACUACUACUAUUAUUCUGUUAAAUAGACAUAUAUCAAACUGCUCUCUGAAUUUGUAUCUCUCUGCCCAUAGAUGAAUUAGUAUAGCUCUCAGUCUUCAUUAGACAAGUUUCUUCACAUAGUGCAUGGUGGUUUACACUUACCGCUGAUCAAAGCAAAGAGAAUAAAUGUUAUUGGAGUACUCAACUGCAAAUGUGACAGGUAUUUUACCACCACCCCAAGGCUCAGUGACCAUUGUGGAAGACAGAGAGGAAGGACUGUAACAGCCAGAGGUCAGCAAGGACCAGAGCAAAAGUAUCUUCUGGACAUGACGAAGCCACUGCACUAUGAACUCACUGCAGCAGUGGGACCACUGCACUAUGAACUCACUGCAGCAGUGGGACCACUGCACUAUGAACUCACUGCAGCAGUGGGACCACUGCACUAUGGACUCACUGCAGCAGUGGUGACUACUGCACUAUGGACUCACUGCAGCAGUGGUGACUACUGCACUAUGGACUCACUGCAGCAGUGGUGACUACUGCACUAUGGACUCACUGCAGCAGUGGUGACUACUGCACUAUGGACUCACUGCAGCAGUGGUGACUACUGCACUAUGGACUCACUGCAGAGGGGUUACCUGCAUAGACCUGUAUACAAUCAAGGUAGUCAACAUUCCAGAAUGAAAGAGGGAUGGGGUUACAAGCUCCCACCCCUAACUGAGGAGCAGUUGAUGAUUGACAACCUCUGAGGAAGGGAAUCUUUAAGGGUAUGGUUGCUGGUAGGUUGACCAUUAUCCAGUGAUGGCCCAAUACACAAGAUCAGGAAGGAAUUUCUGAAAAGGACUCAAAUAGCUCAGGAAAUAGCCUCAGAAACUAACGAAUGAGAAUGCAUGGAAUUAAAAGGCUUUGGAACAGAAUUAAAAAAAAAAGACCUUAGUUAAGAGACGGACUAAUUAAGAGAUAGAAUGGGAGAGAAUCUUUGCCAACUGCGCAUCUGACAAAGGAUUUGUAUUUAAAAUCUAUAAGUAAUUCCAAAAAUCAAACAUCAAAGAAUCAUACAAUUUAUAAAUGGUCAAAUGAAUAAACACACCAUUCUCAAAAGAAGACAAAUGGCUGAUAACUCCAACAGCCUGUGUUCAAUUUCCAGAUCUCACAUAAUAGAAGAUUAAAAAACUAGUGCACACAAGAUGUCCUCUGACAUCCACACUCACACUGUGGCACCACCCCAGCAAACAUACAUACAAUAAACAAACAAAUUUUCAGAUUUGUAAGCAUUUGUGUGUGUGCCUACACACACACACACACACACACACACACACACACACACACACACACACAUACACACGUGCAUGUGCACCCAUGCAUGCUUGUGUGAGCUUAUGUGUGCUACUUGUGUGCAGGUAUCCUUGGAAGCCAGAGGGUCAACUGAUGGUGCUGGGACCAAACCUAGAUUCUCUGCAAGAGCAGUAAGUGCUCUUAACUUAUGAGCCAUCUCUCCAGUCCCCUGUAAUAAAUUUAUUUAAAAAGAGAGUGAGGAGAGAACAAGAGGGUAAUGGGAGUGGGGAGAGAAAGGUAAUAUAGCACCUGUUUUCUACCAUACUUGGAAUUAGAGUUAAAUAUUUAUGUAUUUACACACAUAUAUGACAUGAAAGCUGAAGGGGACAGUGAGAAGGGGAAAGAAUGGACACCAGUAGGACAGGGUAUGAAUAUGAACAAAACAUAAUGGUAGAGCUGGAGAGAUGGCUCAGAGGUUAAGAACACUGACCGUUCUUCCAGAGGUCCUGAGUUCAAUUCCCAGCACCCACAUGGUAGCGUAUAACCAUCUGUAAUGAGAUCUGGCUCCCUUUUCUGGCCUACAGGGAUACAUGCAAACAGAACACUGUAUACAUAGUAAAUAAAUAAAUCUUUAAAAAAAAGACAUAAUGGUAUAUAUGUAUGUUAUUUUGUGUACUAACUAAAAAAUUUAAGACAUUACAUGAAUAUCUAAAUACUAUAACAUUGUAAGUGAAGACAUAAGAAAGUAAAUAUUAAAAAAAUACAACAGGCUGAGAUGGUUUGAUUAUAUGGACCUUAAUCUCAGAUUUGCUAGUCACUGGCUUUGUGGAUUUAAGAAUAAUCACUUAUGCCAGGUGGUAGUGGUGCACACCUUUAAUCCCAGCACUCUGGAAGCAGAGGCAGGUGGCCAGGCCAGCCUGGUCUACAGAGUUCCAGGACAGCCAGGGCUAUGCAGAGAAACCCUGUAUCAAAAAAAAAAAAAUCACUUACCUAUCUAUAAUGAAGUUUUUUUUUUUAAGGUAUGCUUCAAACAGUUGUACAGACCAAUGAAUCACUUCUCCAUUUUAGCUAAGAUUCCUUACCAAGUGAUGAGGGGUGGGGGCGUGAUACUUAGUGUAGGAAGAACACUCCAUUUCUAACAUAUACUCGAUAUGCAUGCUUUUAUAUGGGGACUAGAUGCUGUCUAGUCUGGCUUACAGACUGAGCUACAAUGUGACAUGUACUGGAAGAUACUGAGAAUGUAGUUUGGGAGGUAUAGUGCUAUUAUUGUUUUAGUUAGGUCUGUGGUGCUAAGGAUUAAACUCAGGGAUGGCUGAAGCAUAAUCACUUGAGCUGGACAACACAACUUUAUCUAAAAAACAAAGCAGGGGGCUGGGGUGUGGCUCUUCAACAUGCUGGAUUUGAUGACACUGUCCUCGUGGUCCACGAGGAGAAAAAGUGGCUGAGAUGAGGAACCUAGCCUGUCUGACAUAUGAAGGAAAUGAGACCACAAACAAUAAACUGGCUUGCCUUGUGUGGUGCUAACCGACAUUGUUUAUUAGUUCAUCUCAUUUCUCACAAUGCUAUGAAGUAGUAUUCAUCAUCCCCACCCCAUGAAGGAGUUACCUAAUACUGUGUAAGUUCAUACAGAGGAGAGCAAAGCUCAGAGCACUUAAAUAACUUGACCAAAGGAAGAGCCUUGAAACCAAACAUAAACUUCCACUAGCUAAUUCAUGAUACCCAUUCACUCUGUACAACAUUUCCUGGCACCUAGUCAGGUCCCAAGCCACCUGAACACAAAUCUCUUAGAAACGAUAAACUCAACUAGUUCAAGCUAAUAUUGUCAACAGAAGAUACCUGAAUUAACCCCAAAGUAAUGAUUCUUAAUGUUAAGGAGCCAAGGUCCCCUCUGAUAAUAAUUGGGGUUCCUCUCCCCCAGAAAGAUGUAUACAGACACACAACUACAAAAGUGUGUCUAGAAUUUCAAGGAUCUCCUCAAGCUAAGGGCAGAAUCUUUGUUAUUUGGCUAGCUGGUGUUUUAGUGAUGGAGAUUGAACCCAAGACUUCACUCCCUAACAUCACAAUUCCAGAGCUAGACACCACCCUUCCAAGUUCAAAAAGACUACACCCUGGACGGUCCUUCCAGCCCAUUAGCAGAGUCAGCAGGGAUAGGAUGGGAAAAAGCUCUGCCAGCAGAUCCCUAUGCAUUUUACUGAAUAAGCCCCUGAGUUCUUGCAAGCUGUGUGGGAUCAGGAUUCUAAUGCUUUCCUUAAGCCAGGACAGAGCAGGAACAGCUGUGAGUGGGACCUCCUGGAGAAAGCCUCUGUAGCCAGCUGGUGUUGCUGCUGAGCUAUGAACUGUUAGGGGCACUCACUAUCUGCUGAGGUUCUCCGAGGUCACCUCAGCCUAGAGACAAGAAAAAUAGGGAAGUGAGAUCACAGUGACUGGCUUUCUUGCCCCUUACUGUGUUUAGCAGUAGCUUUUUCCAGUCUUAUUUUCUGCUGCUCAAGGACCAAAGUGCAGAUAAUGAAACAUGAUUAAAGAAUGAGUUUAGACGAAGGUUCAAAUCUUAGAUUCUCUCCUCAGUAACGGAAAUGAAGGUAAGUUACUUAGCAUCUCUGAAAAGGUGUCUGCUCUAAAAAAGCAUGGACACUAAAACUCAUAUUGCGAAUAUAAGUGAGAACUCAAUAAGAUACAAUGAUACCUGAACAAUAAACAAUCACUAAAAACAGACCUUGUAGUUGUCAGAUCUUAAAGAAACUCAAGACAAACAGCUAACUGAGGCACCUAUUUAAUAUCAAAGUGGACACUAGCAACCAACCAGGUUCUCCCAGCAUCUCUCAGUGCCUGUUACACAGUCUUGGCUCUUCCCAGCACUUCACACACACACACACACACACACACACACACACACACACACACACACACACACACACACAAAACCUACCCUAAACCUCUCCAGGCCCUAAGCUUGGCUUCUCUUUCAUAUGUGAUCUCAACUGUUUGGGUUACACGCUCUCUUGGUGCUCUUGUAUCUGUUCAUGGCCUCUUGGUUCCUCUCUCUUCCUUUCUCACCUCCACAACCCCUGUGACCAGAUCUAUUCUACUGGCUUGAUCCAGUUUGGACCCUUCCAGAUACCUCUGGCUGUGCUCUCCCUCAUGUCUACAAUAAAACCCUCCUCAACCAUACCUAGGAGCAGUGAUGUCCUCAUUUUCAUUCAGUGGUGUUUCUGGAUAUCAGUUUCCACCAAUAUUACUAGGAGAGUCUGCUCAAGUCCUGGACUCAAGUGGUAUUGAGACCGCAAAGAAAUAAGGAGCGAUCUAUAUACAUCCUAUCCUCUAUAAGUUACAAUAAAUGACUUCUUUGGGCUUCACACUUUGUCUGGCACAGUGCUUGACAAUCAGUGAACACUGACAGGUACUUGCAAAAAUAGUAAAGGAACUUGGGGAAAGCCAAGGUCACUUUAAAAGGUUCAAUGAACUUCCUGCUAUUGUCAAAGUAAGGACUCCCUUAAACUAUGACUGUCUUAAAGGAACAGAGCACUCUGCAGAGGCUCCCUGGAAUAACUAACUCCAGCCUCCAUAGGAGGUAUGUCUGGAAAAUCAGAUGUUUGAAUUUUUAUUCCACUUGUAUGUCUGUCUACCACAGGCAUGCCUGGUGCCCCUGGAAGCCAGAAGAGGGCAUCGGAUCCUCUAGGACCAGAGCUACAGAUGGCUGUGAGCUUCUGUGUGGGUGCUAGGUAUCAAAGCUCUGUCCUUGGGAAGAGCCGUUGGUGCUCUUAACCCCUGGGCCAUCCCACUAGCUCUCCUGCAUAUUUACAAGGAACAGAUCUGAAGAGGAUUAACAAUUUAAAAAAUAUACUAUAGACUUAACAAAAUCGAAUAUAAGACUUUUGAGGAAAGAGGAGAAAUGGACCUGUCAGCCAUAGAAUAGACCCCAGUUACUGUGUAAAUUACAAUGGUUUGAUUUGUUUAGAGGGGAGAUAGGUGCCUCCAUAUCCCAAGUGCUGAGAUUAUAGGUAUACAUGCCACACUAAAUUAUUCAACAACUAUUUGACAGCAAAUAAAUGGUUUGAGAAUGAUGAGAGGACUCAGAAGGUAAAGGUGCUUGCUGCCAAGUAUGACAACCUGAGUUCUAGCCCUGGAGUCACAUGGUGGAAGAGAAGUGACUCCUGAAGGUUGUUUUCUGACCUAUACACACACACACACACACACACACACAGAUACACACACAAACAAAAAUGCGACACACAUGAAUCCAUACACAUAAAUAAAUAAAUAAAUAAAUAAAUAAAUAAGUGUAAAUUUUAAAAUAAUAAAUGGUUAAUGUGUCUAUUAUAACUCCCUGAAAGAAAAUACUGCCUGAAGAGAGAUGACUAAACCAUCCCAAAUGUGGGACAUACUAAUGUGGCUUAAUGUAUUCAGAGUAAAUGUCAUAAAAAUAAGAAUUGGGGGUCCUCAAGACCAUAAAAGACAACAAAGGCAUUGAGGAGAUGUAGCCAUUUGUAAUACAUGAAUUUUGAUGUUUCUGGUCUGAAGGAAAUAAUUCUAAGACAUUUUGAAGACAGUGUAAGAAUUCUGGGGACUGGAAAUACAGCACAGUGGAUAGUGUGCUUGACCAGCAGCACAGGCAAAGUCCUGUGUUUUAUUCCCUAGGACCAUAUAAACCAAGAGUAAUCAUUGAAAAGUUUCUGCACUCUGAUAAGCCUCUCUGCUGACACAGCAAUCCAAAUCAGACUAAACCAGACCAAAUUUGAAAAAACCCUGAUUUAAUGGGUAAAGCAUUCCCGGGUGAUUCUCUGGCCCCCCAGAGAGGAGACAGGGAUGCAGUUUAAAUACCCUUUGGGAGUGGUCUUGAGCAUCUCUGAGGAAGGAGCUGUGUUUAGUGGGACUUUCUGUGGGGUAGGGUCUGGGCACAGAGGUGGGGUUUCCACCAGAACAUUUCAGACUCUUUGGGUAUAGGGGUGCUGAUUCAAAUCUAGCUACUUCCUGCGUACAUGGGGUGAUGUGGAAAGGGGAGGAGUCAGGAGGUGGUGGCCCACAUACAGCAGGAGGUGUGAGUGGAGGAGCAUCUGGUUAAUUGUCAUCCUGGAGACCUCAGAGCAUCUGUUUCUUGAGGAAGCAGGGAAGGCAAGUUGCUAGGGAAAAAAUAGAUCAUUAACAUCUGCCCUAGUUGUACUGUAAAGAUGAAUGUACAGAGCAGAAGAGCAGAUAGGCCCUUCAUUGGGACAUCUUGGGAAACUGGAGGGUGGAGGGUCCCAGCUGCUGGACAGACCAUGUAUCCUGAAUAGGUGCCCACUUGAGCCUGGAGAGGUGGUACCAACAUGGAUGUCCCAGGAGCUUGAUAGCCGAGGGGGUGGUGAGGAUCACAGUAUAAGGUCCUGUCCAUCAGGGCUCGAGAGUCUUAGGAGCUAGCUGUUUGAGGAGUACUCUGUCCCCUGGGGAGAAUGGGGCAGGCUUAGGGGCAGUGGGUCUGUUGGUGUGGGGGCAGGAAGAUAGCUGUCAGCAUGUGAACAGAAAAAGGACCUCAGAAGAGAGAGAUAGGGGAGGUACCCAGUCAGUGGGGGAGUUUGAGCUGGGAGGUGAUGAUUGCAGAAGGACCUUCUGUAAGGGAGCUCAAAAGGGCUCAGGCCUAUAGGAGAACAUGGGGUAGUCCAGAGGCAGAUAAAGGCAAUGGGGGGAAGUGAGGGCCAAGAUAACCUGAGUUCAGUGGAGAGCUUAGUGAGCUGUUGUUUGAUGACUCCAUUGGCCUUCUCAACCUUUCCCAAGGUUUGUGGGCAAUAAGGAAUGUGAAGCUUCCAGGAAAUGUUGAGAGCAUCCCAGCACAAGCUCCAUGACCCUGGAAGUGAAGGCUGGCCCGUUGUCCAUUUGUAUUUGGUCUGUGGCAAGCCAAGUCUAGGAAUGAUAUGUUCCAGGAGUACUUGGGCCACCAAAUCUGCUGUUUCCCUUCCAAUCCUUGCCCAGUUGGUAUCCUCAAAGCUGGUGCAGAGGCUGAUAUAUCUGGAGGGCCUCCUGUGGACUGGCCUUGGCACACACCUGUGAAAUACUCAGAAGAGAGUAUAGUGGCCAAAGUGAGUGUGGUCCCCAAACAGCUGAGAAUAUUACCUGCUGUGGGAUGUUCUGUAUGUCAAAUAUGUUGCUCUGAUUUGUUAGUAAAUAAAACACUGAUUGGCCAGUAGCCAGGCAGGAAGGAUAGGCGGGACAAGCAGAGAAGAGAAUUCUGGGAAGUGGAAGGCUGAGUCAGAGAGACAUUGCCAGCCGCCAUCAUGACAAGCAGCAUGUGAAGAUGCCGGUAAGCCACGAGUCACGUGGCAAGGUAUAGAUUAAUAGAAAUGGAUGAAUUUAAGCUGUAAGAAUAGUUAGCAAGAAGCCUGCCAUGGCCAUACAGUUUGUAACCAAUAUAAGUCUCUGUGUUUACUUGGUCAGGUCUGAGUGGCUGUGGGACUGGUGGGUGACAGAGAUUUGUCCUGACUGUGGGCCAGGCAGGAAAACUCUAGCUACAAAUGGCGUCCAACGUGGUGGCAAGAGUUUCCAUCUAAAAACUGAGAAAAAAGAUUCUAAAAUGGAGCUAAAAACAGCUUCCUAAUUGUCUCUCUCAAAUGAGCGGCAGCUGCCGAUUUGAGCUACUGUGGCGGGAAUGAGGCCUCUGCAAGUGGCACAUUAAGCUGCAUAGCGGAUUUAGACUUUGCUAGUACAAAACAAAAAAAGAGGUUUCUGGACUGCACACUACUUGGAUAAAAGCAUAGACCCACGAUAGCUCCCAGAGCUGGCAGUAAACCACCACCAUGUUGGGAAGCUUAGGUGGGCAGAGCUAGCAGCCAUAGCUGCUGCAGUUUAAAGCAAUAGAUUCACAAUAAGACAGAUUCAGAUGUAAUAGUUUACAAUGUGUGUAAAAAUGUACGUAGGCUUGAAAGAGACAAAAAAGGUGGUAUAUACAGUUAUAGAAACAAAUACAUAGUUUUAAAAAAUAAAGUCUUUAAAGAGACAGUAAAAUUAAUAUAAAAAUAAGCCACAUGAAGAUGAAUAUUACACAGAGAAUCUGGAUUGUGUUGUCUUUGGGAUUUUUAACUGCAGAAAAACAUUUGAUUGUAAAAGUUGUUGAGUUAUGCCAAAAUGUAUAUUUUAAAGGUACCUUGACUUCAAAAUUUGGAUAUAAGGAUAUGUUGCUUUGGAAAGGAGACUCUGCUUUUGUUCCCACAGAAAGCCAGAGGCUAUGGAUUUGUUCCAGAUUAAAAUACAUCAGGUUUGACCAGCCAAGACCCCCUGAAAGGUGUCCGAUGACACCAUGGCCCAGAUGAUCCAACAUCCAGAAUGGUUUGAAGGCAACUGGCUCAGACGAUACACCCUCAUGGACUAUUCCAUAAUCCUAAAAUUUUCUUUAUGUCCCCAUAAGAUACAGUGCCCCCCUCCAGCAGGAAGUAGUAAGAGAAGCUACGCCCAAAUUCCCAAAUUAUAUGUAAUUUUACUUUGUUAAGGUUAAAACCUUCCUUUUUGAAAAAAAAAAAAAGGGAAGUGCUGUGGGAUGGUCUGUAUGUCAAGUGUGUUGCUGAUUGGUCAAUAAAUAAAUCACUGAUUGGUCAGUGACUAGGCAGGAAGUAUAGGCGGGUCAAGGAGGAGAAUAAAGCUGGGAAGUGGAAGGCUGAGUGAGAGAGACACUGCCAGCCGCCAUGAUGAGAAACAGCAUGUGAAGAUGCCAGAAGCCACGAGCCAUGUGGCAAGGUAUAGAUUUAUAGAAAUGCAUUAAUUUAAGCUAUAGGAACAGUUAGCAAGAAGCCUGCCACGGCCAUAUAGUUUGUAACCAAUAUAAGUCUCUGUGUUUACUUGGUCGGGUCUGAGCGACUGUGGGACUGGCAGGUGAGAGAGAUUUGUCCUGACUGUGGGCCAGGCAGGAAAACUCUAGCUACAAUUACCUCCAAGCAAAGUGUGGGGCAAGCACGUAUGACUAGAAAAAGAAUGUGAGAAUCACCCUGCAAGAAUGGGAAGUGACAGGGUCUUAAAUGGGAAGGAAGGGAUCCCACCUACCCCUGUGACAGAAAUUGGCAAGGAAACUGUAGGACCUGAGUCAGAUAUCAAAACAGAAUAGGUAACUCCCAUGUCCAAGAGAAAGUCAAUGGACUUACCUGCAGCAUCACCCUAGGCUCAAAGAGGGCAAUAGGAGUCAACAAAUCUAGGCCUUGUCAGUCCUCUACCAGGUUUAGAAGUUCAAAGGCUGGAAGAGUCUUAGUUGCCAAUGUUGAUGAGGCUGGAGCUCUGUGGUGUGGCAUAGAGAAUGAGCCUGCAUGGGGGCAUUCAGAUCUCCAGUGUCCAGGCUGUCAGCAGAGAGGGCAUGGCCUCCUAGGUGACUUGGAGGAGGCAAUGAACCAUGAGGUCUCCUCUGGCAGCCAUUUAGACCUGGUUGGUAAUUCCAGUAGGGCUCUGUAGCUGGCACCACCGUGUCACCCACAGGGACCAAAUUGUCCACUAGGUGGGUUUGUUCUUCAUACUGCCUAGCUGCUGCCUAAACUCAAGUUCGCUCCUCAGGAGUGAGAGUAAAGGCCUGGAUCACAUAAAAGUCAUGCCAGGUCAGAUCGUAGGCCUGGGACAGAUAAUAGAACUCCUUGAUAUAAACAGGAUUAGCACAGAAGGAACCCCAUUGCUUUUCUAUUUGUGAAAGAUCCUGAAGAGAGAAGGACUCAUCACUUGGACAAUUCCAUCAUCUCCAGGUAUCUCUCAGAGAGGGCAAAGUAGGGUAGGAGCCUGGUGAGACUGAGUAUGAGAAGAAACUGGGGAAAAUUCGGGGCAUUAGUCCAGUGUGUAGAAGGGGACCAGGAUGUAGGUUGAGGCAUUGGGGGAUAGAGGAGAGCAGUCUAAGGAAUACUGGCCACUGAAUGGAACAUGUCUUUUUACACUUGUUUUUUUUUUUUUCUUUUUUUUUUUGUUUUGUUUUUUCAGACAGGGUUUCUCUGUAUAGCGUUGGCUGUCCUGGAGCUUGAGCUUGUUUUGUAGACCAGGCUGGCCUUGAACUCACAGAGCUCCAUCUGACUCUGCCUCCUGAGUGCUGGGAUUAAAGGCAUGUGUCACCAUCACCCAGCUGGCUUUUACUUUCUAAAUGUUAAUUAACAUGUUGUUGCAUAGUUAGACUGCAGAACAAUUUAUAAGAUACUUUUUUUAAUGUACAUUAUUUAAAAUGUUCUCAGUAAAGUUAAAGGAUUGCCUUAUGCCCCAUCCAGUGGGAAAUAAAAUCAUAUCACUACAGACAAAAAAAAGGAAAAAUAAAAGAAAUGUGGAUUGAUUAGCUAAAAUAAAGAAGUAUUUAUUGUUCAAUGUGAUAAAAUAGUUUAUGUAAAAGAAUGUUUUUAUUUACUCAUUUAUUUUUGUAUCUAUAUCCUGAAAGGAUUCCAAAAUUAUGUUUACUACAUAUACAUAUGCAUGCACAUACACACACAUAUACAUACACAUAAAUGACACUUGACAAAUAUCAACCAGUUUUGAAUUAAAGUAGAAGUUGCUACACAGGUCUAUGUAUGUUUGAAUUAUUUACAUGGUAAAAGGAAAAGGAAACACUAGGAAAAAUCCUAGUGGAACUUAUACCCUAUACAUGUGUGAUGAUUUAAAUGAGAAAUGUUCCCCACAGUCUUAGGCAUUUUAAUACUUAGUCUCCAAUUGGUGACAGUGUUUGGGGUGUCUUAGGAAGCAUGGACUUGCAAGGAAAUAUGUCAGUGGGAUCAAGUACUGAAUUUUAAAAGCCUUGUACCAUUUCAAGUUUACUUUCUCUGCUUUCUGCUUGUAAUUUUAAGAUAUGAGCUCUUGCUAGGCAAUGGUGGCACACACUUUUAACCCUAAACUCAGGAGGCAGAGGCAGAUAGAUUUCUGAGUUUGAGGCCAGCUGGUCUAUAGAGUUCCAGAACAGCUAAGGCUCUACAGAGAAACUCUGUCUCAAAUAAUAAAACAAAAGAUGUGAGCUCUCAGCUUGCUACCUCAGUUCCAAUACCUACCAUAAUGAUAAUAGACUCUUACCCCUCUUGAACUAUAAACCCAAAUAAGCCCUUCCUCCUAUAAGUUGCCUUGGUCAUGGUGUUCUAUCUUAGCUAAUACAGCAUGCAGAGGAAGAGCCUGACUACACCCUCACUACACCAGGCUGAGAAAGAUGAAUUUACAAGGUGAGCUGUGUUUCUCAAAACAGUUCUAAGCUAGUCCCCCAGUAAAAUUUAUCUGAGGAUCAGAGGAAAGAGCCAGCCACUAUAGUAAACAUAGAAGUCAGGCAAUGUUAGCACACACCUUUAAUCCUAUCACUCGGGAGGCAGGGAUCUGUCUGGAUCUCUGUGAGUUCAAAGCCACAGUGGGAACAGAGCCAGUUGUGGUGGUGCACACCUUUAAUCCCAGCACCAACCAUAGAGGUCUGGAGGUCUGUGCAGACAGACAGGAAGUGACAGAGCUAGGCAGGAAGAGGAAGUGAUGUAGCUGGGCUGAGAGAGCAAAUGAAUGAGCAGAACAGAAAGGCAUAUAGGCGUGGGUAUACAGGAAGUAGGUCUCUUUGGAGACUGAAGUGUCAGUGAGGUGAGGUUAGCUUGUAGCUUCUCCAUUCCUCUGAUCUCUCAGGUUUCAACCCCAAUAUCUGGCUCUGGGUUGUUGGUUUUUUUUCCGUCUACACUACAGUCCUAAUGCCAGUAUCUCAGAUUGUAACCAUAACUCUAAAGGUAGGUUUGGUUGGGUUGGAUUUUAGACAUUUAUUCAUAUUGCUCAGACUGGCCUCCAAUCCCUGGGCCCAACCAAUCCUCCUGCCUCAACUUUCUGAGUAGCUAAGAUAUAUGUGCCACAGCACAAAGUUUGAAAAGGUAACUAGCCAGGCAUGGUGGCACAUGCCUGUAAUCCCAGCAUUUGGGAAGGGAAAGCAAGAUGAUCAGGAGUUCAAGAGCAACUGCAGCUACAUAGUGUGUUCAAGGCCAGCCUGGAUUGCAUGAAAUCCUGUCUCAAAAUAAAGUGGUAACUAAAAAAGCAAAGUCACAAAACCUAUGUGACUGGCAUCCUUAGAAGAGGAGAUUAGACAUAGGCAGGCAUCCAGAGAGGAGGGCCUGGAGCAGACCUCCCUCACAGACUUCAGGAAGAACCAGCCCUGCUGACUUCUGGAUCUGCAGCUUCUAUCCCCACAACUGAGAAAUUUGAUUUCUAUUGUUGAAGUCACCCAGUGUGUGGUAUGUUCUUAAGGCAGCCCUGGUGCUUUUAUUUAGGUUACUAUAACAAACGCCUAGGGGGGUUGAUUUAUAAACAACAGAAAUGUAUUGCUCAGAACUCUAUGGGUUGGGAAGGCAUCUGCAGAAUCAGGACUAGGGGAGGGCUGCUCUCUGCCUCACAGACAGUGUCUCCUUGCCUAAUUUACACAUGACAAGAGUGAGCAGAUACCUUCUUAGGUAAAUGGGGGUGGUCUCAUGAUUUGAAAAGGCCAUACCCUUUAAUUCAUUUGGUGUAUUUUACAUUGUAAUGGCAAUACAUUUUAAUAACAUUUGGUGUCAAGUUCCAUUCUAUGAAUUCGAGGGGAUACAGACAUUCAGACCACAGUACCUAACAGAACAAUAUAGAAUUCCUAAUUUGCCAGCAAAGCACUGGGGUAUUUCCUCAUCACUCACUCUAUUUCCCCAUGAAACAAUAGCCUGAUAACUGCAGAGUCCACACAAAGCAGAACCCAGACAGCUGGCACUUGAAGCUCUGACUAUCAGGAAGCAAUGUCCAGGAUCCCCAAGUAUCACCCAUCUGAACAUCUUGAAUUCAACUGUGACACUUGUUGGCCUUCACUUUCCUCUGUGCUUGCUGGGAUUUUUGUCUCAAAAGUUAAUAAGAGAUGCACAUAGUGGUGCAUGCCUUUAAUCCCAGCACUCAGGAGGUGGAGGUAGGCAGAUCUCUGUAAAUUCCAGGCCAGCCAGGGCUACCCAGUAAGCCACUGUUUCAAACAAACAAAAAAGGUUAAUAAGAUAUGGGAGAUAGAAUUGUUAGGUUUCAAAGAAACUCAGGACAAGUGGCUAAUUAAGCUGCCUCUUUAACAUAUCAAAGCCAAUACUGACUAGCAGUCUGCUGCAGUCAUCCUGGCUAGCACACCCUGCACCUACCCUCAACCUCCAGCCCUGAGCCUCACUUUCCUUCCCCCUGGUUCUCUUCAUUGUAUAACUCAGCCAUCUUGGCUACACAUCCCCUCGGUGCUCUUGGUCUCUUGGUUCCUGUGCAGUCUUUUCCUCUUUUCUCCCUCUUCUCUUCCUCUCCUUUUCUCUUACUUUCUCUCCUCUCAUGGCUCAGUUCAGUCUGUUUAACUGGUUCCUUCUGGACCCUUCCAGAUGCCUCUGCCAGUGCUGUUCCUUAUAUCUACAAUAAACCAUCUCCUCAAACAAAUCUAGGAGCAUCAUGUCCCCAUUUUUCAUGCAAAGACAUGCUGGAGAGAAAUAAUAUAGCUUACGGGGGCUGGAGAGUUGGCUCAUCAGUUAAGAGCAUUUGUUGCUCUUGCAGAAGACCUAGGUUCAGUUCCCAGCCCCAACAUGGUGGUAACAACCAUCUGUAACUCCAAUUCUAGCAGACCUUAUGCUCUAUUCUGACCUCUGCAGGCACUAGGCACAUAUGUGGUACACAUACUUACAUGAAGACAAAGAACUCAUACACACAAAAAAAAGUAAAAUAAAUUUUAAAAAAGAAUCUAGCUUAUAAAAACCCCAUAACUAAUAUUUAUAUUAAUAAUGACUAUUUACUAAUAUUUUAAAAUAUAAUUGCUAUUAAGGUAGAAUGCAGUCAUAUUCCAUUAUUGAAUUGUUCAGAUUUGAUAAAUGCACCCCUCCUCUCUUCACAUAGCCUCUCUCGGGAAGGAAAUUCCUCAUAAUCUAGCCAUCAUUGGCUUAGUGCCCAGCAUCCAAAGAGCCUCUGUAAUCUGCUGUGCACAGUCUUGACCUUUCAUAUGAAAAGAGGGGUACUGCCUCUGCUCUAACAAGCUUUUCAAGUUCAUCUCAUUUAGUAUGAUCCCAGCACUGCCAUCUCAAUUGUUUAUGAUACAUUACCUCAUAGCAGCCAAACCACGUACUGUAAACAUGUCCUUUCACGGCCAGUCAGUGGUGGCACACAUCUUUGAGGCGGGUGGAUCUCAGUGAGUUAAAGACCAACCUGGUCUACAGAGUGAGUUCCAGGACAGCCAGGACUACACAGAGAAACCUUGUCUCGAAAAACCAAAAAAAAAAAAAGAACUGUCCUUUCACAUAUGAUAAAACUGGGGCUCAGAGAAAUUACAUAACUAGCCCAAAGCCACAGGCAGUUGAAGGGCAGAGUUUUGAAUCAGAGCUCAGUACUUCCCAUCCUCACCGCUAGCCCAUGGAAGUGUUAGUUAUUUGGCGGCACUCUUACCCUGCGAGGAAAAGUCACGAAACAUGACAGAAUCCACUAACAAGAGUUUUAUUAAGAUAAGAGAGAGAGACAGAUGUUCUCAGGCCUGUUGGAAAGACACAUGCAUAAAAGAGAGAAGCCGGAAAUAUGGCGCAGGCUUAUAAAGGCUGGGUCGCGCAUGCGUACACAGGUUCAUGUGGCUACUCCACACAUGUGCGUAGAUCACAUGAUUGCGCUGAGUGCUUUACGAAACCACGCAAAGCCACGGGGUCCUGGUCACGCGAGACAUUUUGACCUGGAACUGGCUAUUUUUGACCCGGAACUGGCUAGGCGGAAGUGUCUAGGUCCGCUGGGCUUGCGCAACCAUGCCCAACUGUUGGGGCGUAUUGUGAAUCUAUCAGGAAGUCCUUAUCUGUAAUGGGUAUUUGUUUCAUUUAUGACCUAGGGCGUGGCCUCUUGGCUAGCUUAAGACCUGUGGAGCAUGUAUGUGGGUCCCUUCUGUUAGGGGUUGAUUAUAAAUUAUAUUAGGGCUGGGGAUGGAACAAUAAAAUAUAGGCUCAGAAUUCUCUUUUGGAAAAAAAAAAGGGGGGAAAUAGAUAGGAUAGGAUAAUAAGGUAGAUUUUUUUUGUUUUGUUUUGUUUUUCAAGACAGGGUUUCUCUGUGUAGCUUUGUGCCUUUCCUGGAACUCACUUGGUAGCCCAGGCUGGCCUCGAACUCACAGAGAUCCGCCUGGCUCUGCCUCCCAAGUGCUGGGAUUAAAGGCAUGUGCCACCACCGCCCGGCUCUACUUGUAAACUAAAUCAGUAACUAUCCACUUUAGACAAUUUGCAUUGGUAUGGGUUCUUGUAUAUUAACACAAGUGUAAAAUUAUCUUUCUGUUCCUGUUUAAUAUAAUUUGUAUAUUGAUACAAAUACAAAACUAUAUUUGCCAUACGGUACAUAUGUUCCUACUCCUGUUUAAAGUAUUUUAUAUAUUGAUACAAAUGUAAAAUUAUAUUUGUCAUACUGCAUAUAUGUUCUGAUGGUUUUUAGCGGCACUCUUACCCUGCGAGGAAAAGUCACAAAACACAAAAGAAUCCACUAACAAGAGUUUUAUUAAGACAAGGAGAAAGGGACAGAUGUGAUCAGGCCUGCUGAAGGGACACACGUGGGAGAAGGGGGUUCGGGAGACAUGGGGCCUGCCUUUUUAAGGGCCACCCUGCACAUACACACUCAGGCCCAUGUGGCUACUCCACACAUGCACAUAGAUCACAAGGUCACGCAGCAUGCAAUUACGUGACUGCUCAUGGGUUACGUAGGACAUAUGACCCAGAAAUGACUAAGUGUCCCACCAGGACAUGUGCGACCAUGGGGUUGUAGCUGAAAUUCUUAUCAUCCCAGACUCUUUGUUUUUAUAAAAGAUGGCAGAUGUGUAGCUGGAGUUUCCUCCAGUCCCAUGUGGGACCGCAGCUGUUCAGACUCAAGUAAACAAAGAGACUUAUAUUGCUUGUAAACUGUUUGGCCGUGGCAGUCUCCUUGCUAUCCAGUUUUUUUGUUUGUUUUUUUUUUUCUGAGACAGGGUUUCUCUGUGUAGCUUUGCGCCUUUUCCUGGAACUCACUUGGUAGCCCAGGCUGGCCUCGAACUCACAGAGAUCCGCCUGGCUCUGCCUCCUGAGUGCUGGGGCUAUCCAGUUCUUAUAUCUUAAAUUAACCCAUUUCUAUUAAUCUAUAAGUUGCCACGUGGCUUGUGGCUUACCGGCACUUUACAUCUUACUUCUCAUGGCGGCGGCGGCUGGCAACAUCUCCUGACUCAGCCUUCCACUUCCCAGAAUUCUCCUCUCUGCUUAUUCCACCUACACUAUACUUCCUGCCUGGCUACUGGCCAGUCAGCAUUUUAUUUACCAGUCAUUCAGAGCAGCACAUUCACAGCAAACAAAAAGACAUCCCCAGCACAGAUGAGUGGGUAUGGGUCAUUGUUUCUCCCAAAAACUGCUUCCAGCUGACUUGAUGGGUGUCGGUUGGUCUUGGAGGGUUAGGGAAGGGGGCUUCUGAGGUAGACAGGUGUCCUGGGAUGGUAGGCUGUUGUCUGCUGCCCUGGAGUUGCCCAUCCUUUCUGGCUUGGAACUCUUUGGCUGACAGGAUACUGGUGAGACAGAAAAAGCUUAGGAAAAAUAAUCAUUAUUAUUUUUAUUUUCUUUGGAGUGUUCCCAGACCAGGGAAUUUUGAGUUUGGCACUUAUCUGAAGUAGAUCUGACCUGUCCAGAUGGAUUUAAGCUGGUUUCUGGAGCUUGGGAAAAAUUUUGAACAUAUUAAGAAGCAGCCAUGAGAAAAUUAGUGACAAUUGUAGUGUUUGGUACUCUGUUUAAUUUUUACCUGAGAUAAGCUUUAUUAGAGGUAGAUUAUUUAAGGCACCUGUUUCCUUUAUUAGUUUAGCAUUCAGGAGACACAGGUGAUCAAUUGCUGAGAGCGUUCAACAGUGAUAGACUGUUAUAUUAAAGUCUGUUUUUGCAGAGCCCAGGCACUUUUGGGUCUGGGGGUAUAAAUACCUUUGGAUUAUUUUACUGUUUUUUUUUCCUUACCGCCUGGAUAUGUCUGAUGGUCCUUUUGCCUCCGGCUCUCUGGUGGCCCUAUAACAAUUAGCUGAGUGGUUAAUUAGGAAAGGAAGAGCUUAUGGAGUGAUACCUCAUUCCUCUGGAAUUGAUGACAAGGCAGUGGAUCCUGGUGUCCUCUGUGUCACUGUGUAUGAAGAGAGAUUUUUCUGUGGAGGUGAGAUAAAAGGUUUUAGAUGAGACAGGUGGACCCAGUGAGGAAAACCCUUGAGUUUAGCAGCUGUAGGAGUCAUAAGAAUUACCUUGAAGGGUCCCUGACAUUUAGGGGGGAGGGGUAAAGGGCACUGGCCUGGAGGGGAAAGAAGAACCUGAUCCCCAAUGUGGAUUGGGGGUGGGCAAGGACUGUCACAUGGCUGAGGUAAGGAGUAGUCUGUGUAGCUCCAUAGGAUAGAACUUAGGUGACAUAGCAGGGGAGUUAACAGGCUAUCUGGAACAGUUGGAGGGUUGGAUAGAAGACCUGGUGUUAGAACUGGCCUUCCAUACAUUAGUUCAAAUGGAGAGAUUGAAAGAGGCUUUUUAGGAAGAGUCCUGAGCCUGAAAAGAGCUAAAGAUAAUAAUCUUACCCAGUUGAGGUGAAGUUCCUGUGACAUCUUAAGUGAGAACAGAUUUUAAAGACUGGUUGGUGCACUCCACCUUUCCUGAGGACUGAGAAUGGUAUGGGAUAUGAAAAUGCCAAGGAAUGUUAAGAGCCUUAGCUAGUGUCUGAGAAAUCUGAGAGGUGAACUCCGGGCCAUUGUCAGACUGAAGGGAGGCAGGAAUCCCAAACCGAGGAAUAAUUUCUCGGAGAAGGAGAUCUGCAACUGUCUGAGCCCGCUUAUUAGAAACAGAGUAUGCCUCCACCCAAUUUGAAAAUGAGUCCACCAUCACGAGGAGAUAUUUAAUUUUCUUGAUAGUGGGCAUAUGGGUAAAACUGAGCUACCAGUCAGUCCCUGGAAGGGAACGUCUAGCCUGGUGGGUGGGAAAAGGCUGACUUCUGUACUUGGUAUUGGAGUCUGCUUUUUGGCAAAUCUCACAAGAGGCAGCAAUAGUUCUUAAGAACUGUAAGUCCUCAGAGGUGGGCUGCAGGUGGGCCUUUACGAAUUGAGACAGAGCAAGACUAUUAGGGUGAAAGAGCUGGUGUAGAUAGGACAGAAUUUGUCUAGUGUCAGGGGUUCCCUGAGAGGGUGUGAGCUGUACUGUAUGGAUUCCCUGCAGUGGGUGGGGUGAGAUUUGGUCCUGGAGCAUCCUGACUGCCUGGUCAGCCCAGUUAUUUCCCUUAGAGAUGAUGGAGCUAUCGGUCUGAUGAGACCGGCAGUGGACAAUUCCUAUAGCCUUGGGGAGGUGGGAAGCCUUUAGCAUGACCAUUAUUUGGCCUGAAUUAGAUAUGGAUCCCCCUUUUGCUGUGAGGAGGCCACGCUCCCUCCAAAUAGCAGCAUGGGACAGGAGGAUAUGAAAAGCAUAUUUGGAGUCUGUGUAAACAUUUAGAGAUUGUCCCUGUGCCAAUUGGAAGACACGGGUGAGAGCUAGCAGCUCAGCCUGUUGGUUAGUGGUGUAUGUGGAUAAUGCCUGUGCCUCUAUUAUCUCAGUAUCUGACACUAUGGCAUUACUAAAAAGGAGCUGCCAUCUGUGUACCAGGUAUAAGUAGCCUGAGGCAAUGUGCCCUCCUGUAUGUGUGAAGGGUGAGGUAACAGUUCCUCCAAGGUUUCAGUGCAGGAAUGAGAAGGAGAAUACUUAGUGUCCCUAAGGCCAUAGAUGGAUCUGUAACCAGGCACAGGCCACCAAGCAUCUCAUCAGACAUAAGGUGGGGGGCUAAGGCAUGUGAAGGCAAGGACUCCCCUGGAGUCUGACAGCACUUACUGCUUCAUCAAGCCAGAAAAAAAAAAAUGUGUCGGCCUUACACAGCCUGAAGACACACCCAAAGACGGGGAUCCAAUUGUGAGAAUUAUAUCUCAAACUGCAGACGUGGGAGAUGGCUAGAAAUUUUAGCCUGCGAUCGGGACCUACCGUAGCCAGUGAAGACCAUGGUCGGGGAUAACCCCAUCUCAGGAACACCAGUGGGGCGCCAGACAAUUGAUGAUCAUCCCCACAGAUCCAGGAGACAGUUUUCGAUGGCUGAAAAGUGGGAGACUCACCUAUCAAAGUAGCCAGUGUUGUGUGUAGGAUCCCACGGCCAGGCAAAUGGACAGUGGGCUGUUGUGGACGGAGCAGACUCCCCCGGUACAGGUUCCCAGGUACAAAGUGCCGAGAGUGCCCGUUGUGCACGGCACCAAUGAAGGUUUUUAGCGGCACUCUUACCCUUUGAGGAAAAGUCACACACAACAGAGUCUACUAAUAAGAGUGGACUAAUAUCUGAUUAAGAUAUUUUGUAUAUUGUCACAAUUUCAAGGUCAUUGUAUUUAUACUGUACAUCUGUUUACAGAUUGUUUACUCUUAUAAUGUUAAGCCUUAGUCUAAGUUAUUUAGGUUGAUAAGAUUUACAGGUUAAUAGUCACCCAUGCUUGUCAUAUUUAUAGUCAUUUUAAUUGGGAAUAAUACAGAAAUAUAUGUCAGAUGGAUAGAAAAUACUUCAUAGACCUAGAGAAUUCGGCAUUUAAAUGUUCUAAUGACUUAGAAUUCUGUUGACGUGAGACACAAUUGCUCCUGGCAGCACCAAUCUACUCCUGAGAGGAUGUUGGACAUUGAAGACACUCCAUAUGGAGUUUAUCUUCCUCUUGGCAAAAAAAAAAAAAUGGCCUGUUGGGCAAAGAACUGCCCUUGCCUCAACUGCUGACAAUAAGCACAUUUUCCAAUCUGGACAAGCAGGACACAAGGAAAAGCAACUGCUGAACCUUGCCAAGACAGGGUAAGACAGUCUCUCAAAAUUCCUGCUUCUGAAGAUGAGGUCUGUCAGAUAUUCUAGGUCUAUAGCCAAAAAAUGGAUGCCCCAAUGGUACUGAGAAACAUUAGGUGACUGUCCAGAUUGACAAGUGUCUCUGUCAUUUCUUGCCAUUUUUCAGAAGUUGCUCAUUUGCACUUCCUGUUUACUCAGGUAAUAUUUUCCUUCUCAGGUCUUAUGAUGGGCUUGAAGACUAGAUAGUUAUAGCUACAAUCUUCUCAUAUCUUAGCUAAGAACAUAUCAGAUACUAGAUUUAGGAUAUGACAGCUAUUGGAGUAAUCUCUGUAAUUUGCCAUUUAACUAUAGUCUGGACACUUAACAUGUGUUUCUUGCUUGAUGUUGUUAUUGUUGGUUGUAUUUCCAUUUUUGUUUAUGUUAUUAGCUUUUCCUUCUCUUAGACAAUAUUUGAUAAUCAUUCUUUUUUUUUAAGAUUUAUUUAUUUAUUAUGUAUACAGAAGAGGGUGCCGGAUCUCAUUACAGAUGGUUGUGAGCCACCAUGUGGGUGCUGGGAAUUGAACUCAGGACCUCUGGAAGAGCAGUCAGUGCUCUUAACCGCUGAGCCAUCUCUCCAGCCCCCUUGAUAAUCAUUCUUAUUGUAUGUAGUUUUAUAUUAGGUUUAGAACUUUCUUAUUUAGACAAAAAGGGGAAAUUGUAGUGGUAUUCGUUCCAUCUAUGGCCUUGGGGUACCAGCCCCGAGGGUGUGGCCUCUUGGCUAGCUUAAGACCUGGGGAGCACGUACAAGGGUCCCUUCUCUCCCGUGCUCUUGGAUGGUGGAGAUCAAAUCUGGUGGCAUGAAGCAGUGUAGAACCGGUUCUCAGUCUUCCAGGACUGAGACUCUGCAACUGAAUCUGCCAUAUCCUGUAUUAGUGAGUUUUCCCCCCAAUAUAAUCCUUUAAUAAACAGUUUUUUAUCAGUUAUCUGCAUGUUGUCUGCAUUACUUAUCUUCAGAAGAAAAUGCAGUCCAGGGUUCUGUGGUGUCUGGGGGUUUUCAGAGCUCCUCUUUAACUCUUCUGGGUAAGACACUGAACUUACUAAGAGCAAGCAGUCCAGUUACUAAACACAGCUGUUUCGGGAGCUUCUGGCAGUCCAAAACCCCUUGGAGUGCACGUCAGGGCCGAGUACAUGACUGACUCACCUCAAAGGUUAAAUCUUUACUAUCAACUUGACUGGAUGGAAGAUCACGCCCUCUGUAUUUGUGAAUGUUUCUAUAGAGGUCUAAAUGAGGAGGGAAACAUACCCUGAAUAUAGGCGACACCACCCCUUGGGGUGGGGUCACAGUUGAAUGAAAGGGAGAAAGGGAUUGAAAGUGACCUGAGAACCCGUUUCCUGACUACAGACUUGUGACAGCUACCUCUCCUGACAUCACAGAAUUUAUUCUUGUUGUCACAGUUUUCUCACGUGAUCUGGACACACAAACUAGAAGCCAAAGUAAACCCUUCCUUGAGCUGCCUAUGUCAAGUAACUGAUAGACCUUUCAAACAUUUCAGACCUUUCAAAGGCAGAGGCCGAAGUCUGUUGGCUCUCAGAAGAACACCCCAGGCAUCGAAGGUUUGGCUGCAGAAAUUUGGCAGCCCGCCUUGCUUGAUCUCCAGCUCAGACCACAUAUAUUCAGGGAGGCCCAUCUCUUUCACCCUAGCCCUGCUCUCUGAUUUUUCUGAUGACAUUCUUUUUUUUUUUUAAUCUUUCCUGGGGUUCUUAACCCCUAUGUGAUCUAAAGGCCCUAUAAUCCUAAAAACCAGUCCUGUUAGCCAGAUGCCCAGCACAAUAGCACUGGGAAAGCAAAGUCAUGGGACUGAAACCAGAAGAAAACCUAUUCAUGUGAGAAGCAGCUGGCAGCUGGAAACAGACUGAGAAAAGGAAGGCAGACCAGGCCCUACCUCCUACAGAUGGCUGGACUGGAGAUUUCAAAGCCAGUCUCAGCCUACCUAAGACCUCCUGUCCUCUCUCCUAAUAAAGGAGACAGUACUUAUCACAGCUCCCACCCUUCACUGAGGGGCUCUAUGGGGGUGAUCCACGAAAAGGAGCUUUGAGAUGGAAAGCCAUCAGGAGGGGAGGGGAAGAAUCCAGGCCCACAGUCAAGAACACACAUUGUGUAAUUCCACUUUCCAAUUAAAUACCAGAGAAACACCCUUACAGGUUUAUUGCUGUGCGUCGCAGCACAGGUGUGUGGGUUCAUGCAGCUCUGUGGAAUGAAGACUCAGAGGCAUCUUAUGAAUGAAUCUAGCCUUUCAUGACUGCAGGAGGGUCCAGCCUCGAAGGACUGAAGCCCCUUCCCUUCACCUAGGGCAUUUUUAUUUCUCUCCAUUACAGUUUAGCCAGUUAAUUUCCAUAUGCUCAAAACACCCUGAAAGGAGCUCCCAACAAUACAAUGCCAAGGGCAAACUCCUCGAUUUGUCAGGUACCAUGGUUUUCCAGGUUUCCUGAACCAAGUUUUGCAUAGGCCUUUGUAUCCUUGGGGACAAGAUUCACAUAGAGGGAAAUAAGGGAAACAAAAGGUGUCUUCCCAGCAAAAGAUGGAUUGGGGCUAGGUGCUACUCUCUGGAGCCAGGCCAGGUGCAGCUCAGCAGGAAUGUAGCCACAAGGGUUAUAUGUUUUUAUUAAAUGAUUUUAUUUAUUUUUAGAUGGCACAAGGAGGGCAUAUUUUUUCAUUGAAAAAAAUAGAAAUCACAUAUCACAAAAUUCUAAUAUAUAUACAGAAUGUAUACUAUAAUAUAAUAGGUACAUAAUUCUAAUACAUAUACAGAAUAUAUGCUAUAAUAUAAUAGGUACAUAAUCACUUUCAGCACUUCAUAUGCAUGGUUUUCAUGCACAAAAGACCAGACAAAACACAUUUCCAACAAUAGAGCAUAUACAUCUUUUUCCUCAUCAACAAACUUACUAUUUAAUCCUUCUCAAUGGUUAAGGAAUGCUUUAUCAUAUGCACAAGAAAUAACAGUUUAAAUCAAUUCCCUGUCUCUAUGCAUUUAGAUUUAGAUUGCUUGUAAGAAAACUUAAAUUCCUUUUGGAGUAUCAAGCAGAGGCUAAGGAGGUGAUUUCCCGUCCUGUUUAACAGUCCUCAACCCCAUUAUCCUACCCACCAGCCCACCGACUCAGUCCACUUUGGCUACUGUGCAUUUCUGCAUAAGUUUGCCUAGACUUUAACCUGGCAGAAUUUCAGGUGCUUCAUUGUCUGUGCUCCAUCCAUAAAUGUAUUACAGGGUGUGUCUUACCUUACUUGUUCUUCCUCUUAUCUCUUAAAGAAAACAGACCAUAGCUAAGGCAAAACAGGUGGCUUCAUCUGAAGUGUAUUUGCAGAAUGUAGUAUUGUAUAGUGGAACUCAGUUUCCCUAUUACAUUGUGAACAUGCACACACAUCUAUUGGAAUUUCCCGUCUGCUUAGACUGAGGAUCCUGCAGCUGGCUAUCAGGGAGCUGAAACCCCUACAGAGAGGAAGAAACACUAAGACAUGAACAUACAUACACAAGUACACAUACACUAGUGCAAGCCUGCUCUAGAGCCUUUACACUGGGAGACAAAAGGUGUCCAUAAAGAGACAAAGUCAUAGCUCACACUUUUCAGAGGAAGAACAGUUGGAACCUGCAGGCUGAACACAGUGAGUCUAACUCUACCCCAUUUGAUACUGCAUGCCAAUGUCAAAGGGGUUUGAGAGCACAGGACUGAUGCUCCUCCUCAGAUUGGGUUUUGUUGUUAUUUUCUUUGGUUGUUUCAGAUGGGCUUUUGUGUAGCUCAGGCUGGCUCAAACUCACUACGUAGUGGGGGAGGAAAAGCUGAUGAACUCCUGAUGUUCCUGCCUCACUUUCUGAUGUUAGUGUUGGGAUUACAGGUGUGUGCCACCAUGCCCAGAGUAUACAGCAAUGGGAGUUAAAUUACCAGCUGAGCUACAUGCCCAGUCCAAGUACAACUUCUUUUUGUGUGUGUUUGCAGGUGCAAAAGAAAUAGACAAAUUUCUAGAUUCAUCCAAACCACCAAAAUUAAACCAAGAAGAGAUCAACAAUAUAAACAGACCCCAAACAAAUUAGAUUUAAACCAUAAUUAAAAGCCUCCUGGCAAAAAAGAAAAAAAAAGUGUCCAGAUGCACUCACAGAAGAAUUCUACCAGACUUUCAGUGAUCUACAGCCAAUGUUUCUUAAUUUUUUUAAAAAUAGAAAACAGAAAGAGCACUCCCAAACUCCUUCUAUAAAGUCAGUAUCAUUCCAAUACCCAAAAUAGGCAAGGGAAAAAAAAAAACAGAGCCGGGCGGUGGUGGCGCACGCCUUUAAUCCCAGCACUCGGGAGGCAGAGCCAGGCAGAUCUCUGUGAGUUCGAGGCCAGCCUGGGCUACCAAGUGAGUUCCAGGAAAAGGCGCAAAGCUACACAGAGAAACCCUGUCUCGAAAAACCAAAAAAAAAAAAAAAAAAAAAGAAAAAAACAGAAAAGAAAACUACAGGUCCAUAUCCCUGAUAAACAUAGACUCAAAAAUUCUUGAUAAAACAUUUGCCAACCAAACACAGACAUACAUCAAAAAGAUUAUCCACCAUGACCAAGUUAGCUUAGUACAGGAAUACAAGAAUAGUUCAUUAUAAAUCAAUAAAUGUAACAAACCAAAUAAAGGGAUUUAAAGGCAAAAUUACAUGGUCAUCUCAAUAGAUGCUGAAAAGGCCUUUCAACAUGUCUAGCAACACCUAACAUCUUCAUGAUAAAAGUCUUAGAGUAGGACUGAUGGAACACACACCUCAAUAUAAUAAAAGAUACAUAUGAGAAACCCAUAGCCAACAUCCUAGAGGGAAAACUUGAAACAAUCCCACUGAAAUCAAGAAUGAGACUGUGCUUUCCAUAUCUGCUUUUCUUUUUUUUUUUUUUGGUUUUUCGAGACAGGGUUUCUCUGUGUAGCUUUGCGCCUUUCCUGGAACUCACUUGGUAGUCCAGGCUGGCCUCGAACUCACAGAGAUCCACCUGGCUCUGCCUCCCGAGUGCUGGGAUUAAAGGCGUGCGCCACCACCGCCCGGCCCAUAUCUGCUUUUCAAUAAUGUGUUUCAAGUACUAGCUGAAGCAAUCAAAGCAAGAGAAGGGAAUAGAAAGGAUACAGAUAGGAAAAGAAAAAAUCAAACUAUCUCUACUUGCAGAUGAUAGGAUAUUAUAUAUAAGAGAUCCCAAAAAUUGAACCAGAAAUCUUUGGGAAAUGAUCAACAAUUUCAGCAAAGUGGCAGGAUACAGAGUCAGCUUAAAAAAAUCAAUAGCUUUUUUUUUAAUGCACCAAUAAGAAACAGAGAAGAGAUCACAAUAUUCUCAAAUAGCCUCAAAGAAAUUGAAAUAUCUAGGAAUAAACCUAGUCAAGAAAGUGAAGGACCUCUACAAUGAAACUUUUAAAUCUCUGAAGAAAGAUCCAGAAAGACAUCCCAUAUUUGUGAAUUGUGAAAAUGACCAUUCUACCAAAUGCCAUUUACAAAUUCAAUGCAAUCCCAGUCAAACUCCCCAUCUCAUUCUUCACAGAAAAGGGGGAAAAAAAAAGUAAAA
Molecule: RNA transcript, 36167 nt
Organism: Peromyscus californicus insignis
Lineage: Eukaryota; Metazoa; Chordata; Mammalia; Rodentia; Cricetidae
Gene: Lhfpl3
Gene name: LHFPL tetraspan subfamily member 3
Exons: 5
Source: RefSeq, a predicted model, not a curated record